AGUUGCCAUCAGUUUGGUUGGGCACUCUAGUGAGACUGCCGGUGACAAACCGGAGGAAGGUGGGGAUGACGUCAAGUCCUCAUGGCCCUUAUGGGUAGGGCUUCACACGUCAUACAAUGGUCGGUACAGAGGGUUGCCAAGCCGCGAGGUGGAGCCAAUCCCUUAAAGCCGAUCGUAGUCCGGAUCGUAGUCUGCAACUCGACUACGUGAAGUCGGAAUCGCUAGUAAUCGCAGAUCAGCAUGCUGCGGUGAAUACGUUCCCGGGUCUU
RNAcentral lists this ribosomal RNA (269 nucleotides) under uncultured Thauera sp. RNAcentral describes it as "partial 16S ribosomal RNA". It matches the Rfam family "Bacterial small subunit ribosomal RNA", at positions 1113 to 1382 of the family's 1533-position model. Lineage: Bacteria; Pseudomonadati; Pseudomonadota; Betaproteobacteria; Rhodocyclales; Zoogloeaceae. The record is from RNAcentral.